GUUUAUCAAAAACAUGGCUUUUAGAAUUUAAUUUAAAGUCUAACCUGCCCACUGAUAAUUUAAAUGGCCGCAGUAUAUUAACUGUGCAAAGGUAGCAUAAUCAUUAGUUUUUUAAUUGAAAGCUGGAAUGAAUGGUUGAACGAAAUAUUAACUGUUUCAUAUAUAGUGAUAAUAAAAUUUUAUUUUUUAGUGAAAAAGCUAAAAUAGAAUUAAUAGACGAGAAGACCCUAUAAAUCUUAUUAUUUUAUUGGGGUGAUAUUAAAACUUAAUUAACUUUUAAUUUAAAAUUUACAUAAAUUAAUGUGUUUUUGAUCCUUAUAUUAUGAUUAUAAAAAUAAGUUACUUUAGGGAUAACAGCGUAAUUUUUUUAGAGAGUUCAUAUUGAUAAAAAAGAUUGCGACCUCGAUGU
This 409-nucleotide ribosomal RNA is filed under the name Apocephalus euryterminus. RNAcentral describes it as "partial 16S ribosomal RNA". It matches the Rfam family "Bacterial large subunit ribosomal RNA", at positions 1802 to 2532 of the family's 2925-position model. Lineage: Eukaryota; Metazoa; Arthropoda; Insecta; Diptera; Phoridae. The record is from RNAcentral.